This is a non-coding RNA of Taeniopygia guttata (zebra finch), 2433 nucleotides long. Lineage: Eukaryota; Metazoa; Chordata; Aves; Passeriformes; Estrildidae. The record is from RefSeq and is a predicted model, not a curated record.
AGAGUACAAGAUAAAGUCAUAAAGUGAGAGGGGUCUAUGAUAUAAAAAGCUAGCAAUGACCCACAAUCCUUCACUUACUAAGGCUCAUAUUCAAACCCUCUAGUUUUUGCCUAACCUAGAAUUUGCCUGAACUAUGAAGUCUGGAUUCCACUGGGGAAUAACAAGAUACUCAGUGGCACCUAGAUUAUCCAAGAAAGAAUGUGAUUUGGAAACUCCUAUGGACAAGUAGCUUCAGCUACUAGUUAGGAAGUGCCCAUGAAAAGAAGAAUCUGUACUUCCCAAGAGAAUAUGGCCAGCCACUGCACUGUGAAACAAGGAAAACCAAGGACUCCUGAAGCAGUGUCUUACUGAUGUACAGCCUGACCAGAAUCAGUCUUGGAUUUGAGGCCUCCUAUGCGUUUCCCACCCGUGGAGCUGAGUACUCCUGUAUCACCAGUUAGCCAAACUUAAUCUUCUGUUGCCACAAAAAUCUGUAGUGUCAAAUUCUUCUCCUUUUAUUAUAAAUCUCAAUGUUUUGAUGAUUCUUUUACAUUUGUGGUUUCUGGAGUUCUGUCAUUAAAUAAGGAGCUUGGCUCUUAUUUCUCCUAUUUUACUUGUAAGAUUGCUGUCAAAUCAUGAGUUCAAAAGUAAAAACUCUAAAUCCAUUGAUUUAAAUCCAACACCCCAGGUUUUGUGUAGUUUGUCCAGUCUUUUUAGGAGAUGAAUGCAUGAAUCUGUCCUCACUGUAAUUCCCCAAACCCUUUAACUCUCUGCUAGUGGGGUCUCUAAGGGCAUAGAUAUCUGCCAUGUUGUGUUUCCCUCAUCAAGGCAAGCCCAUCCUCUGUUGCUUGAAGGACCUGAUCUAUGAAGCAUUCUCCAAACCAGCCUUCUAGACCUUGCAGGAACAAAUUCCCAGAGGGCAAAGCAACGAGGCUUACCUUCAGCUUUCCACUGUGUCCAAGCUGGAUUUAACCUGGUAUGAAUGCCGAAUGUCACAACCAACAGGCUGUUUGCUGGUUGUUUAGGGAUCAAACUCCUCCAAAGUAUAAUCAGGUAUUUUCACUCAUGGUGGAGCAGAUUUGACAAGUAGACAAUUCAGUCUGCAACAGCAAAUAGCCUGCCAAGGAGAAUGUCCUGGCAGGUGGUGGACGGGUAUGACAUGCCAUAUCCCAGAUAUAUGUUCCUAACAGCCAGACUAUAGAGUAAGCAACUAGAAAGAACUUAUUAUCCUGCAGGUAGCUGUUAUAAAACACUGGUUUAGUGCCAAUCUUGUGGCUGGGAUUUCUUAGCAGAGGCACAGGAUUAAAUCAUACUUUCUUAAGGUUUCUUCCUGGCUUUCUUAUGUAGCUUCCAGUCUGUAGGCUUUGUAUAGCCCACUCUUUAUUGCCUUCAGGAAGCAUGUGAGAAACUCACAUUUCUGCACUGAGAAAAGAUAUCUUCAAAUUCUACAAAGCAUCACAGCAUGUAAAAAUAUGGUGAUGCAGUUUGUAAUACUCAAGUCUUUUGGGGGGACCUUGCCCCAUGGUAUAGUUUUAAUUCUUUAGGGAAAAUAGCAUAAGGAUUCAGCUGUCCAGAACAGAUUUUCCACUGUGGAAAAUUUGCAGGAGUAUGUCAAAGCUACAAGUAUGAUCAAAGUUUGAUAGUUUCUGGAGGGACCAUAAAGAAUAAGUGUUGCAUUUCAGUAUCUACCCUAUGCAGUCAGAGUGGAGAAAGGCCAUGGAUACCUCUAAAGAGCAUUCUGCCAGUGAUUUUUGUUUGGUCCUUCCCCUGUGGCAGUCCCAGGACUGGCAGCAACCUUUACAGUCACCAAGCCUGUAUUUCACAUGGACACAGGACACAAGGAUCAAGGAUUAGGUUUUGAUCAAAUUAGGGAAGGCACUCCCUACAUUCCCAAAAUAGUAUAAGAGAUCUGCUUUCUUUGAGCUGCUGCCCCUUUGCAGCACAUCAUCUGCAUUUUGAAGAGGUUGUUUUCCAAGACCAGCAGCCUGACAGUAUUGGGUGCUUCAGCGGAGAGAUCUACAUGCCUGUUGCACAGAAAUUAAAGGGGAAAAAUUCCUAUAGAUUUCAGUGGUUUGGGAUAUGACUGUCUCUAUUAAAACCUUUACUUAAAUAUACCCUUAACUGGUAACAUGUUAGAAAUAAUUGAACAAGACAAUCCUGAGUAAUUCAUCAGUGCCUCUAUUAUUCUUUUCAGAGUUGCACAUCAGCUAUUUACACAAUAUGAUUUGUUUUAAUUUUUUUAUCCAGCAUGUUUUAUGCAUUAGUAUCAGAAAAGCUUGUCUUUCUCUUGGCAAAUGUUGCUGCAAGUUGUCUAGCAGGGAGGUGGAUUAUGUAGAUUUAUUUAUUCAGAAUGUAAUUUGCAUAAAUGAAAAAUGGAAAUAAAUCCUCUUUUCAGAAUUUAAGCCUUUUUUUUUUCCCUUCAAGGUGAAAUAAAAAGUGUGUGUAGUUUACUCA